CUUUGGGAUAACCCUCGGAAACGGGGGCUAAUACCGGAUAUUCAUGACUGGGCGCAUGUUUGGUUGUGGAAAGUUUUUUCGGCUAGGGAUGGGCUCGCGGCCUAUCAGCUUGUUGGUGGGGUGAUGGCCUACCAAGGCUUUGACGGGUAGCCGGCCUGAGAGGGCGACCGGCCACACUGGGACUGAGACACGGCCCAGACUCCUACGGGAGGCAGCAGUGGGGAAUAUUGCACAAUGGGCGGAAGCCUGAUGCAGCGACGCCGCGUGAGGGAUGACGGCCUUCGGGUUGUAAACCUCUUUCAGCAGGGACGAAGCGUGAGUGACGGUACCUGCAGAAGAAGCGCCGGCCAACUACGUGCCAGCAGCCGCGGUAAGACGUAGGGCGCGAGCGUUGUCCGGAUUUAUUGGGCGUAAAGAGCUCGUAGGCGGCUUGUCGCGUCGACUGUGAAAACCUGCGGCUUAACCGUGGGCUUGCAGUCGAUGCGGGCAGGCUCGAGUUCGGUAGGGGAGACUGGAAUUCCUGGUGUAGCGGUGAAAUGCGCAGAUAUCAGGAGGAACACCGGUGGCGAAGGCGGGUCUCUGGGCCGAUACUGACGCUGAGGAGCGAAAGCGUGGGGAGCGAACAGGAUUAGAUACCCUGGUAGUCCACGCUGUAAACGUUGGGCGC
This 667-nucleotide ribosomal RNA is filed under the name uncultured Micromonosporaceae bacterium. Its description in RNAcentral is "bacterial SSU rRNA". It matches the Rfam family "Bacterial small subunit ribosomal RNA", at positions 136 to 816 of the family's 1533-position model. The record is from RNAcentral. Lineage: Bacteria; Bacillati; Actinomycetota; Actinomycetes; Micromonosporales; Micromonosporaceae.